GCAGGCAUCUAUCCAGCCUACACGUAGGUGAUGAAAUCUGCAGGCUGGUUAGAUGGUUGUC
RNAcentral lists this microRNA precursor (61 nucleotides) under Scyliorhinus torazame (cloudy catshark). Its description in RNAcentral is "Sto-Mir-456_pre stem-loop". It matches the Rfam family "mir-456 microRNA precursor family", at positions 7 to 67 of the family's 73-position model. The record is from RNAcentral. Lineage: Eukaryota; Metazoa; Chordata; Chondrichthyes; Carcharhiniformes; Scyliorhinidae.